This 67-nucleotide transfer RNA is filed under the name Cobbenicoris guangxiensis. RNAcentral's name for it is "tRNA-Leu". It matches the Rfam family "tRNA". Rfam says of the family: Transfer RNA (tRNA) molecules are approximately 80 nucleotides in length. Their secondary structure includes four short double-helical elements and three loops (D, anti-codon, and T loops). Further hydrogen bonds mediate the characteristic L-shaped molecular structure. tRNAs have two regions of fundamental functional importance: the anti-codon, which is responsible for specific mRNA codon recognition, and the 3' end, to which the tRNAs corresponding amino acid is attached (by aminoacyl-tRNA synthetases). tRNAs cope with the degeneracy of the genetic code in two manners: having more than one tRNA (with a specific anti-codon) for a particular amino acid; and 'wobble' base-pairing, i.e. permitting non-standard base-pairing at the 3rd anti-codon position. Lineage: Eukaryota; Metazoa; Arthropoda; Insecta; Hemiptera; Urostylididae. The record is from RNAcentral.
UCUAAUAUGGCAGAAUUGAAUGCAAUGAAUUUAAGAUUCAUAUAUAAAGAAUAUUCUUUUAUUAGAA